This 486-nucleotide ribosomal RNA is filed under the name uncultured bacterium. RNAcentral's name for it is "bacterial SSU rRNA". It matches the Rfam family "Bacterial small subunit ribosomal RNA", at positions 24 to 518 of the family's 1533-position model. The record is from RNAcentral.
UCAGGAUGAACGCUGGCGGCGUGCUUAACACAUGCAAGUCGAACGGAGUAUUACGAAAGCUUGCUUUGUUUAACUUAGUGGCGGACGGGUGGGUAACGCGUGAGGAACCUGCCCUUUAGUGGGGAAUAACACCGAGAAAUCGGUGCUAAUACCGCAUAAUGUCGGGAAACCGCAUGAUUUUCCGACCAAAGGAUUUAUUCGCUUAAGGAUGGCCUCGCGUCCGAUUAGGCAGUUGGUGGGGUAACGGCCCACCAAACCAACGAUCGGUAGCCGAACUGAGAGGUUGAUCGGCCACAUUGGGACUGAGACACGGCCCAGACUCCUACGGGAGGCAGCAGUGGGGAAUAUUGGGCAAUGGGCGAAAGCCCUGACCCAGCAACGCCGCGUGAAGGAUGACGGUCUUAGGAUUGUAAACUUCUUUAAUCGGGGAAGAAUAAAUGACCUACCCGAAGAAUAAGCCACGGCUAACUACGUGCCAGCAGCCGC